GGAAUAUUAGAAAUGGACGAAAGUCUGAUCUAGCAACACCGCGUGUGCGAAGAAGGCCUUCGGGUUGUAAAGCACUUUUUGGAAGGAUUAGGAAGGAAUGUACUUCCAGAAUAAGUCUCGGCUAACUACGUGCCAGCAGCCGCGGUAACACGUAGGAGGCAAACGUUAUCCGGAUUUACUGGGCGUAAAGCGCGUGUAGGUGGUUCUGUAAGUAGGGCGUGAAAGCUCCUGGCUCAACUGGGAGAGGCCGUUCUAAACUGCAGAGCUAGAGGAUGGUAGAGGGAGGUGGAAUUCCGGGUGUAGCGGUGGAAUGCGCAGAUAUCCGGAGGAACACCAGUGGCGAAAGCGGCCUCCUGGACCAUUCCUGACACUCAGACGCGAAAGCUAGGGUAGCAAACGG
This 400-nucleotide ribosomal RNA is filed under the name uncultured bacterium. RNAcentral describes it as "bacterial SSU rRNA". It matches the Rfam family "Bacterial small subunit ribosomal RNA", at positions 358 to 775 of the family's 1533-position model. The record is from RNAcentral.